Molecule: ribosomal RNA, 330 nt
Filed under: uncultured eukaryote
Lineage: Eukaryota
Description: partial 18S ribosomal RNA
Rfam family: Eukaryotic small subunit ribosomal RNA
Source: RNAcentral
CCCUUAGAUGUUCUGGGCCGCACGCGCGCUACACUGAUGAAUUCAACGAGCUCCUAACCUAGGCCGAAGGGUCCGGGUAAUCUUUGAAAUUUCAUCGUGAUGGGGAUAGAUUAUUGCAAUUAUUAAUCUUCAACGAGGAAUUCCUAGUAAGCGCGAGUCAUCAGCUCGCGUUGAUUACGUCCCUGCCCUUUGUACACACCGCCCGUCGCUCCUACCGAUUGAAUGGUCCGGUGAAAUGUUCGGAUCGCGGCAAGUCGGACGGGUAACCGUCAGGUUCGCUGCGAGAAGUUCAUUAAACCUUAUCAUUUAGAGGAAGGAGAAGUCGUANCA